UCUGAUAAAUGCACUUCAAAGGGAGGGAAGGC
Molecule: small RNA, 32 nt
Filed under: Arabidopsis thaliana (thale cress)
Lineage: Eukaryota; Viridiplantae; Streptophyta; Magnoliopsida; Brassicales; Brassicaceae
Source: RNAcentral